This 68-nucleotide transfer RNA is filed under the name Polygraphus poligraphus. RNAcentral describes it as "tRNA-Val". Lineage: Eukaryota; Metazoa; Arthropoda; Insecta; Coleoptera; Curculionidae. The record is from RNAcentral.
CAGACUAGAGCUUGGAUGUAUAAGCAUUUUAUUUACAUUAAAAAGAGUAUUGGUUUAAUAUAGUUUGA